RNAcentral lists this ribosomal RNA (497 nucleotides) under uncultured bacterium. Its description in RNAcentral is "partial 16S ribosomal RNA". It matches the Rfam family "Bacterial small subunit ribosomal RNA", at positions 28 to 507 of the family's 1533-position model. The record is from RNAcentral.
GAUGAACGCUGGCGGCGUGCCUAAUACAUGCAAGUCGAGCGAACAGACGAGGAGCUUGCUCCUUUGACGUUAGCGGCGGACGGGUGAGUAACACGUGGGUAACCUACCUAUAAGACUGGGAUAACUUCGGGAAACCGGAGCUAAUACCGGAUAAUAUUUCGAACCGCAUGGUUCGAUAGUGAAAGAUGGCUUUGCUAUCACUUAUAGAUGGACCUGCGCCGUAUUAGCUAGUUGGUAAGGUAACGGCUUACCAAGGCAACGAUACGUAGCAGACCUGAGAGGGUGAUCGGCCACACUGGACCUGAGACACGGUCCAGACUCCUACGGGAGGCAGCAGUAGGGAAUCGUCCGCAAUGGGCGAAAGCCUGACGGAGCAACGCCGCGUGCGUGAUGAAGGUCUUCGGAUCGUAAAACUCUGUUAUUAGGGAAGAACAAACGUGUAAGUAACUGUGCACGUCUUGACGGUACCUAAUCAGAAAGCCACGGCUAACUACGUG